RNAcentral lists this non-coding RNA (21 nucleotides) under Caenorhabditis elegans. The record is from RNAcentral. Lineage: Eukaryota; Metazoa; Nematoda; Chromadorea; Rhabditida; Rhabditidae.
UCUGCUCUGUACUUGAAGCUA